Molecule: ribosomal RNA, 177 nt
Filed under: uncultured bacterium
Lineage: Bacteria
Description: partial 16S ribosomal RNA
Rfam family: Bacterial small subunit ribosomal RNA
Source: RNAcentral
CUCCAUGAAGCUGGAUUCGCUAGUAAUCGCGCAUCAGCCACGGCGCGGUGAAUACGUUCCCGGGCCUUGUACACACCGCCCGUCAAGCCAUGGAAGCCGGGGGUGCCUGAAGUGCGCUGCCGCAAGGAGCGCCCUAGGGUAAAACCGGUGACUGGGGCUAAGUCGUAACAAGGUACC